This 468-nucleotide ribosomal RNA is filed under the name uncultured bacterium. RNAcentral describes it as "partial 16S ribosomal RNA". It matches the Rfam family "Bacterial small subunit ribosomal RNA", at positions 28 to 507 of the family's 1533-position model. The record is from RNAcentral.
GACGAACGCUGGCGGCGUGCUUAACACAUGCAAGUCGAACGGAAAGGCCCUGCUUUUGUGGGGUGCUCGAGUGGCGAACGGGUGAGUAACACGUGAGUAACCUGCCCUUGACUUUGGGAUAACUUCAGGAAACUGGGGCUAAUACCGGAUAGGAGCUCCUGCUGCAUGGUGGGGGUUGGAAAGUUUCGGCGGUUGGGGAUGGACUCGCGGCUUAUCAGCUUGUUGGUGGGGUAGUGGCUUACCAAGGCUUUGACGGGUAGCCGGCCUGAGAGGGUGACCGGCCACAUUGGGACUGAGAUACGGCCCAAACUCCUACGGGAGGCAGCAGUGGGGAAUAUUGCACAAUGGGCGGAAGCCUGAUGCAGCAACUCCGCGUGCGGGAUGACGGCCUUCGGGUUGUAAGCCGUUUUCGCCUGUGACGAAGCGUGAGUGACGGUAAUGGGUAAAGAAGCACCGGCUAACUACGUG